This 51-nucleotide non-coding RNA is filed under the name Trypanosoma brucei brucei. The record is from RNAcentral. Lineage: Eukaryota; Euglenozoa; Kinetoplastea; Trypanosomatida; Trypanosomatidae.
AUAUAAGGCAUACAAUAUAUUAGGUUAUCGGAAUUGAGUGAUUGUAUUAAG